Penaeus indicus is the source of this 2416-nucleotide long non-coding RNA. RefSeq lists it as uncharacterized. The transcript is spliced from 16 exons. NCBI's taxonomy places the organism in Eukaryota, Metazoa, Arthropoda, Malacostraca, Decapoda, Penaeidae. The record is from RefSeq and is a predicted model, not a curated record.
UGUAACAUGAAAAAAAUAUUUUUAUUGUAUAGUUCUACUUUGGUUAGUUCCACUAGGUAGGAAAACAUCAACUUGGAAUGAUGACACAGUCAAGAUAAAGGUAAGUCAUUAAGUGAGAUUGGUUUUGCAAAUGGAAAAUGAUGACUGACAAAGUGUGACAACCCACAACAUAUUAGUGUUUUACCUAUCUUUCCAGGAUUUCUGUUGUGGAGUCAUAGCUUACGAAGAAUGUAGUGGAUUAUAUAAAGAUAGAAGAAAAAGGAUAGCCAUAUAUUUUUCAGCAAAACUGAUAACCCAUAUGAAUAGGAGAGCAUAGUGAACAGGAAAAUCAAAAUAUUGGCAUAAGAUGAAAUUUACAAUUGUGAUAAUGAAACCAGGGAGGAGGUUUAAAGAUAAAACCUACAGUGUAAUGUGUUGCAAGAACAGAGGACUUGACCAGGUAUACGGAUAAGAAUACAAGGAGAGCAUGCUGAUCAUGGAAAUUGGUAGAUUUGCACAAGGUCAACCUAUGAGAGUUAACCCUUAGAUGAUGAUAUUAGAAAUUUCUAUGCAUCACUGACUCCGGCGAUUUCUGACAACCGUCCUACCGUUUGGACGAGUCAGCUACGUGUAACAUAACUUCACUCGACUUGCUAGUUCUUUUAGCUGUAUCUGACAGAUCAAGCAGUUUAUGAUGGCUAUACAAGUGGCCCGGCAGUAAUGGGUUAAUGGAGUGCAUACUGAACAUGAAAUUCAGGUCUGCAGCUCAACCCAUGAGAGGGAAAGGAGAAUUAUUGAGCUUGAAAAUCAGGUCUACAGCUCAACCCAUGAGAGGGAAAGGAGAUUAUUAAGCAUAAGAAUCGGAUCUACAGCUCAACCUAUGGGAGUUAACCCAAUGGUGACAAGUGAAGGGGAAAAAAAAGAAAAAAAAAACUACGCUCUGGCAAACAAUGGCGGCUUUGAGCGCGUGAGUUCGGUACAUCAGCCCGAAUCACUGGCUCGCCGCAGUGUACAGCAACACGCCACGUUUCGAGUGGUUUGUUUUCACACCUAGCAGCGUCGCCCAUUGUGAAGGGGUUAAAGGAGAGCAUGCUGAACGUGAAAAUCAGGUCUGCAGGUCAGUCCAUCAGAGGUAACCCUUAGCCGUAGGGUGGCAUGUACAUAGAUGCCAUAGCAUGCCUGAACUAUAUUCCGGGUGGCAUGUGCAUAUGUACCAUGGUGCGCCAAUCCCGUUCUCCAGGGCCAUGUAUAGUCGUGGCACACAUGCUAGGGUUGAUGACACGAGCCCCUGGCAGCAGGGCCCAGGCCACAACCCACAACCCGGGAAUUGUCUGUCGGUUAAAGGAGAGCGUACCGACAAUGAAAAUUGGGCCUACAGAACACUUGGAAAUAUAAUAAGUCUGGUUUCAAGUAGCCAGAUGCAACCAUGGUACCAGAGCCAUCUCAACUUUUUAGUUCCAUUUCUACCCACAAAAAUGUUUGCCCAAAUCCUGCUAACAAGUUAUGCUCUGGCUCCCCAAAUUCCUCAAAAAGCAAGCCCAGACCUGGCUAUGAAUUGGGUCUUGCACUCAGAUAAUACUAGUGGAGUAUUGGUUUGAGGGCAACAGUAAUUGACUUGCAUAGGUUAAACCUAGAAGUGAGAGGGAGUGCAAUAAGAUUAGACUUCCACAGGUUAGUAUUUGUUUGAAAUUGCUUGGGCAUCUCUACAAAUAGUAGCAUUUGGAAAAUUAAGAAAAAAUUAAGAAACCUCAAAUAGCUCUGCAUAAAUCUUUUUUUAUUACCCAUGUGAAGGGUAGACCACAUUUAGCAUUUCUCUUCAUUCCAUUUUAUUGUAAAUUGAUAGUGUACUGUCCUGAUCUGAAAAUCUCCCCACCCACCCCGACAAUAGUGCGAAUAAAGCCUUCUAUUUGUAAAUAGUGUUAACCUACAGUUGUCAUUUCAUGUAUAUGUGCAUCAAAAAGUUAAUAUGAUGAUAGAUAUACCGCCCCAGUCUGAAAGUCUGAUGAUGGUUCUCUCUGAAAGAAAUACUUGCCAAUAAUGUAGGUUUAAAAGAUUCCAAUCUUAUUUAUAGAUUUUUUUUUUCUUGCAGAUAAAGCCACCAAUGUGAUAGUGGAACAACAGUGGACUAGAAUAGGUGAACCCAUCAGUGCGAGUGGAUACUGAUCCUGAGAAUUGGUAGUUUUGCAUGAGAUAAAACCUACAAAUUUAACUUACUGGAACAGCAGUGGACUUGAGUAGAUACAACCUGCAAAUGUGAUCUGGUACAAGGAGGAGAGAUAAGAUAUCAAUUGCUUUAUACUGAUGUAAAUACAGAGCUACAUCAUCAUGGUGUGCAUAAAGCUUGAAACAUCCUCGAUUUGAAGAAAGUGUAUUCCAGUUAACUUCAGUAAAAACAUCCACAUUUGAUAACGUUGCUAAUAAAGUUAGCCUUUGAAAC